CUAUGUUGUCCUAUUUUACCCAAGACCUUUUGCCAGAGCAAAACAUACAAGAUGCAUUCCCAAAAUCAAUACUGAGAGGAUAUGGAAAUGGCAGCCUUGAUAAUUUCCACUGGAGGAAAGACUGGGGAAAAGUAGAUGAAUUGCUGACGUGAAAACACAUGCUUAAUGGUUGCUGCAUCAGAGAUACGAGAAGUUAUUUUAUAUUAAGUGUGCAUCGCUGAUAUACUUUUGCACGAAAGAUGAAAGAUGCUGAAAUGUAAGAUGUGUGAGUCAAAUCUUGCUACAAAGCCUCUUUGUAGUUGUCUUACAUACCUGUAAUUGAUUCAUGAGUUAAGUGUUUAUCUUCUGCAUUAUAAGAAGAGAGAAUCAUUUUGAAUUUCAUAAAUCAUUGGUUCUAGCAGUAUUUCAUUAUGGUAAUAUACCGCAAGUUUUGAAAUGCUUUUUAAGAUUCUUUGUGAACUUAAUUUGUUUUUAAUUGAACACAAUUGUGUUAAAUGUGUUAGAUCUGGUGCUCAUGGAAUAAUGUGUUAUCCUACCAAAAAUCAAUUCCAUCUUACUCAACGGUGUCGAUAACAGACGGCAACAAUCUACUCUCCGAUGGCAGAGUGGAGUAACAUCUUCAGUGAUCUUCAUUCCCAGUGACUUUUUAACUGCAAGUAACUGGAAGAAUAUGGUUCUCAUAGUUUUUUAUACUUUUCUUUGUAACUACAGAGUCAUCAUUGUUAUAAUAAAGAUUAUACAGAAGUAUAAAUAAAUACCUAUAUUUCUGAGUAAUU
This is a long non-coding RNA of Cebus imitator (Panamanian white-faced capuchin), 776 nucleotides long. RefSeq lists it as uncharacterized. Lineage: Eukaryota; Metazoa; Chordata; Mammalia; Primates; Cebidae. The transcript has 2 exons. The record is from RefSeq and is a predicted model, not a curated record.